UCGAAAGCACGCCAAUCGAAAAGACCUGCGAACUUGUCUCUACAUACAAUUGGGAGUGAUGUGAUGAUUCUGGCCUUGUUGCAUAUGGCCUUCCAUUCUCUCCUCGUGAUUAGAUGUGCAUGGACCGGAUCCUUGGGGUGAUGUGCAUGUUUAGUCGUCGAGCAACGAACCCCAGCGCAAGAUGCGCCAAGGAAAAAUUGAACAAGAGUGCAUGUCCUUAACCUGUUUGCGGGUGGUGUUGGCGUGUGCAAUCUUUUGUACAACUGAACGACUCUCGGCAACGGAUAUCUCGGCUCUUGCAUCGAUGAAGAACGUAGCGAAAUGCGAUACUUGGUGUGAAUUGCAGAAUCCCGUGAACCAUCGAGUCUUUGAACGCAAGUUGCGCCUGAAGCUAGUAGGCUGAAGGCACGUCUGCCUGGGCGUCAUGCAUUUCGACACCCGCUCCACUGUGCCUAAGCAUGCAUGUCGGGAUGUGGGAGGAUGUUGGCCCCCCGUUUGCGCUUGGUGGUCGGUUGGCCUAAAAGGGAGUUCCGGACGACGGACAUCACGACAAGUGGUGGUUGCAAAAAUUGUCGCUUCAUGUUUGUGGAUGCCAUUGUUAGUCGCUGGUUGGCUCGUUGACCCUGGAGGUGCUAGUGCAUGCGGCACCUUG
This 652-nucleotide ribosomal RNA is filed under the name Styphelia pulchella. RNAcentral describes it as "eukaryotic LSU rRNA". The stretch from base 270 to 425 matches the Rfam family "5.8S ribosomal RNA". The record is from RNAcentral. Lineage: Eukaryota; Viridiplantae; Streptophyta; Magnoliopsida; Ericales; Ericaceae.